ACCCAAUCCCUCCCACUCGGAACUGUGAGUUUGAUGAUCGCGAGAGCAGCGAGAGGCUCGGUACUCCUGGCCGUCCAGAUGUGUUCUGAAACGCGUGCUGUUGUCAUGGCGGACAAACGCCAGGGUUAGCGACCCUUACGUAAAAGAUGCUGCGCAUGUGUGAAAGAAUCAGUUUUAAUUUCAUCUCUGGGUUUAUGACAGGCACUGCUUGAGGAGACGGAGAGUGUGAGAGUCGGUGGGGAUGAAGGACACCAAGGAAACAAAGCCUCUUAAAUCAACCGGAUCGGAUCGAUGCACAAAUGGACUCGCGGGGACCAUGGCAGCA
Non-coding RNA from Myodes glareolus (Bank vole), 325 nucleotides. The record is from RefSeq and is a predicted model, not a curated record. NCBI's taxonomy places the organism in Eukaryota, Metazoa, Chordata, Mammalia, Rodentia, Cricetidae.